This is a long non-coding RNA of Rosa chinensis, 914 nucleotides long. RefSeq lists it as uncharacterized. The transcript is spliced from 4 exons. NCBI's taxonomy places the organism in Eukaryota, Viridiplantae, Streptophyta, Magnoliopsida, Rosales, Rosaceae. The record is from RefSeq and is a predicted model, not a curated record.
UCUCUCUCUCUCUCUCUCUCUCUCUCUCUCCAGAAAAUUAGGAUAUGAAAAUAAGAACAUGGAGGACAUUCAAUCUCUUCUUAAUAUUGCAAUUUCAUUUCUUGUUUUCAUGGAAUCAUGAGUUUUUUGAAGAUCAAAACUUUCCCCAAGUCUUUUUAGUCUUGACCAAUGGAGCAAGAGAGAAGACACGAGAGAGGAUUUCAAAUGAGUCAUCAGAAGAGAGCUGCUGCAGUAUUAAUGACAGAUUGCUUCUUCUUCGCAUGCAAAUAUGUCAAAAGAUUAGGGUAUCUUGAAGAGAUGAUUAAUUCUUUUGUUCCGGAUCAACAACGCAAUCCAAGCCCAAAAUCGGCCAGAGUUCAAUCACUCGCAGACCCCACCGAUCGGAAUUGCUACUCUGUCACCUGCUUGGAAUCGACCUCCGCAACAAAUCGAUGUCAACCCCAACCGAUUGACGCUCUUUGCCGGUCGCUGAUACUCUAGAGAAUCUUGCACCUCCCUUCGCAAAACCCACCUUGCAACCACUGACAGUCCUGAAACCAGAGCCGCCGCAACUCGUCAACCACUGUGUGGCGACGCUGGACCCGGCGUGAAUCCACCGCAAGACUAGGGUUUUACUCUCGCUCUCCCUCUUUUUGAAUUAUAUUGUGUCUUGCAACUUACAAGGUAUGCUAAUCAAUUUUCAGGUAACGUAAUACUGUAAUAGUUGCUAGGGGGAGAGGGACGGGAGAGAUUGGCUGGUUAUAUGCUAAUUGUAACAAUUUUUUAUAAUAUUUAGUUUUGAUGAGAAUGUAAAGUGAUAGGGGCUUAUUUAUGCUUCAAAUUCAAGGAGCUGUAGCCAGUAGGAAUUUUUGUAUCCACCUUUUGAUUUCUAAUUCUGUUACCAUAAUUGAUCAUUUAUCCUGGGAUGAGUUUAA